Molecule: long non-coding RNA, 224 nt
Filed under: Homo sapiens (human)
Lineage: Eukaryota; Metazoa; Chordata; Mammalia; Primates; Hominidae
Description: non-protein coding lnc-C4orf45-3:1
Source: RNAcentral
AAUAUAGCUAAGGUUGUAAGCCUGGCCCCUACAUUCCAGGAAAUCUCUACAAUUUUGCACCAAGCCACAAACUUCUGUCUUAUUUCAAGCAAAGAAUUGCCAGCUUUUGUGGAUCUGAUAUUUCUAUUUUAGAUGCAGACAGCUGAGCCAACCCUCAACAGUUUUCUACAGAAAGACAUUCCUGGAAGAUUCAGGACAUGUGUUAAAGUAUGAAAACAACAUUU